GCACCAUUUCUUCCCGCAGGUGCACUCAGAGACACACAGAGAAUUCAGUCUGCUGUCAAGCGCACAGGUGCACUCAGAGACACACAGAAGAUUCAGUCUGCUGUCAAGCGCACAGAAAGGAACCAUUGCCAGCAAGAAGACUCACCAUUGGAAGGCUGUGGGAGAAUCUUUUCUGAAGGUGCCGUCUUGUCAGGACAACUACAUUCGUACAAGUGAAAAAAGGCUGCCAAAAAUCACGUGAGAUCAAGUGAGAUCACUUUUGCUCUCAUGAGCACUCAGAGCAAAAUUUGUAGUGGACUAAUAUCCAGACCCCACAAUGACCGCAGAGCUGACAAAAGUGCUGGAGAACACUAUGGACAACCUCACGGGGGCCGACUUUAAGAGGUUUAAGCGCAACCUUCGGGACCAGAGCAAAAUCCCAUGGGGAAAGCUGGAAAAGGCCGACACAGACGAAACUGUGGACUUGAUGGUGGAGAUGUGUGCCACAGAAGUUGGGGACAUCAUGUUGACCAUCUUGAAGAAGAUGAAUCUCAACCAGUUGGCCAUGAACUUGGAGAGAGAUCUGGGAAAAUUGGGAGGCCAGCAGUGUUCCCCAGGUCAGACCGGAGGGGGUGGAGGGGUCAACGUGAACGCCACUGCUCACCCUGGAGGGACGGUGAAAGCCCCAGCCAUGUCCGGCUGCACCUUCAGUGGUCCUGUCCACUUCAACUGAUGAAGAAGGCCUGUGCCACAGCAAGAAGGGGGUAAUGGCCCACUUUUAGAUGUU
Molecule: RNA transcript, 766 nt
Organism: Clupea harengus (Atlantic herring)
Lineage: Eukaryota; Metazoa; Chordata; Actinopteri; Clupeiformes; Clupeidae
Gene name: NACHT, LRR and PYD domains-containing protein 6-like
Exons: 6
Source: RefSeq, a predicted model, not a curated record